Molecule: long non-coding RNA, 2666 nt
Organism: Scophthalmus maximus (turbot)
Lineage: Eukaryota; Metazoa; Chordata; Actinopteri; Pleuronectiformes; Scophthalmidae
Exons: 9
Source: RefSeq, a predicted model, not a curated record
CAGAUUUGUACUCUCGCUUCUUCUUCGUCUUCUUCUUCGUCUUCUUCUUCUUCUUCUUCUUCUUCUUCUUCUUUGGAGUUUUACGGCAGCCAGCAUCCGUAAUGUUGCAUUGCUGCCACCCUCUGGGAUCAUUUCACUAUGCUCAUAUCUUCAUAUUAGAUCCUUUUCAUAAGCGCAGAGGCUCUAAAGAAGCCAAAAUCCUAUUUUAUUCCAAUUCCCCCUUUUGUCCCACAUCACCUGCAUUCAACGAGGACGUGUUCUACUGUUUCGGGUUGCUGGCUUGUCUUCGUCAAGUCCCGCACACUUGCUAAACCGGAAGUAAAAAUACAACCACACGUUCAUUUCCGCACCAAAAUGGAGGACGUGGGCGCGCGCGCGCGCGCGCAAUUACGAUCAGGUGACCCAGUGGCCUGCUGGCGGCAGAACGACGCUGUUGCGUUCACGGUCAAAUUGGAUGCGUUCACGGUCAAAUUGUUUGCUCGAACGUCUCACGCUUGCUCUUAAACUCAGACUCAAAAGUGUCUGAAAGUAAAAUAGGUCGAGCAGUACGUCGCUGUUGACUCCCCCACCUGUCGAUUCGCUUAGGAAAAGAAGGUUCAACCAAGUAUUUGUAACGAAAUUCACAAUUUAUUUAUUUAUUUUAUUUUUUUUUAAAGUUAGCCACCAAUCCGGAAACGUUGGUUAGCCCGGCUGACUAGCUAACAAGCUAGCUGAUCUGGGUGGGAAAAGCCAAAGGAGCUAGCAACCUGCUACUUGACCAAGCUAGCUUCAGACGGAGUCACAACACGACGACCCUCAUAAGACCUGCCCGGGGAAUAAGAUUGAGCUGAACUGAAGUGAAGAGGAUGAAGAGAGAGAAGAAUUAGUAAGCUUUAAAUAUUCCUCGUCUGUCUGAUUGUCGGAUUGUUUAAGAAGGAGGUGGAAGAAAAUGUCACCAUGCAGCAGGCCUGAGCACUUGUGUGAUGAAGAGGAAAUUUGUGCAUUUUAAAAUGCUAGGAAUAAACGCCAGAGUUGUCAAAACUGGAAACCAACACAAAAUCAACCAGAGGGCCAAGAGCAGGUUCCUCUCCCCCCGGUCCUCCAUUCCUGCAUCACCAGCAUCCAGCAUCAUUCUCAGAACCGCUGGGAGGUUAAGUUUGUAAAGAUUGUUAACUGUAGCGCUCAAAUGAACCAGACCGGACUCCUAAUGGCUCUUAUUGGAUCCUGCAUGGAGGGAAGAUCGGCCUCGACCGGAGCUACCACCAGCACAUCCCUCACCCACCGUGCCCCAUCGCCCCAUCGCGACAGCCAGGAGAGAGAAAACCUAAUAGAGAAAUGGAUGUCUUUUUAUUGAGCUUGUCCCGACAACCUGCGCAGUCCGACUCAUGGAUGCCCUCCAAGCGCAGGACAAAGCCGUCGUCGAGUGAACCAGGCGUGUGUCCACCGGACCUGAGGGGUGCCGCCACCGCUAAACAAAACGCACAAAGACCCCCUCGCCCCCCUCGCACUGGCCCUCACCCCAUCUACCCCGCUCUCCUCCUGCCCCUCCACCCGCACAAAAGCCGCCUUCUGCUUUGUGCCUGCUCCAAGAUGAGGAAGUUCCUCUCAUCUCUUUUUCAAGAAACAUUUUCAGAGAUGCCAGACAAAAAAAAGGAAAACUCAGCAUUGAGAGACGGAAGCAGAAGCGACAGAAACAGUCAGCGUGAGGUGGGGAUGACCUGAGAGGAAGAAGAGUUCUUCAGGUUGGAUGGAAGGCGGCCUUCUGUCACGAAACACUGUGUGUGCAGUGCAGGAAGAGGGAAGAGGCCUCGUGGACAAAUGGACAACUGACCGGCCCUGGCUGGAACGGCAGCUCGGGUAAUGAGCCGGGGAGCGUAAGAGCUGAACAAAGUGGGAAAUGGAAGGGGAGUCUGAAUGCUGGAAGCUUGUCUGGUGCAGAUAUUUCGUCAUUUGUUUACUUUUCCUUUUUCUUUCAAACUUAUUUUGAAUAAUAAUAUAUUUUCUUUGGGUGCUGUUUACAAGAGCCAACAUGGGCAAAAUGCCACCGAACCGUUGUUCAUCCGGUCACACUGCAGUUUAUGAUUUCCCACAUUUUUGUUAAAUACAACUUAUUUACUUCUGAAAUUUUCAGAAUAAUCAAACUUAAAUGUCUGUUUUACGAUUAAAACCUAUAAACAAUCGAUCGGUAGAUUUACUUGCCCAAGGUAAUUCAUUUUGUCCUUUCUAGAUGGCCUUAAUUUGGUCAAAUAAAUAAGUGGAAAAUAGAUGGAGAGGAAGAUUAAUAACAAAAUUGAAUGCAUUAUCACAUUACAUUACUAUGUGAGAUUAUUGUUCGGCAAAACAGAGUUGGGUGACCUCCGGACGUCUGGAUGAGGGAGGCGCUUGUUUAUGCAAUCAUCGGAGGGAACCUUUAUAGAUUGAGGGUUUUGAUCAAAGGAGGCCGCAUGUACAUGAGAAUGUACGCGUUCAUGAAGCCUGUUGGUAUUUUGUCCCGAGCUUUUUUAAAAAAAACCCCAUUUCCCUCAAUUAGGAGACACGGAUACACUCGGGCUCGACAGGGCGUCUUAUCUGAGAUGUUUUAUCUUGAUUUAUGCCGCAACGGGUGUAAAAUCUGAGUAACGAAAGAUAAAGUUAUCUGUCUGAGCAAUGUUACGUCUGUCAAAGCGAUUAUCACAGCUGUUAUCUAC